CACGUAGGCGGAUCAGAAAGUCAGAGGUGAAAUCCCAGGGCUCAACCUUGGAACUGCCUUUGAAACUCCUGAUCUUGAGGUCGAGAGAGGUGAGUGGAAUUCCGAGUGUAGAGGUGAAAUUCGUAGAUAUUAGGAGGAACACCGGUGGCGAAGGCGGCUUGCUGGACAGAUACUGACGCUGAGGUGCGAAAGCGUGGGGAGCAAACA
RNAcentral lists this ribosomal RNA (207 nucleotides) under uncultured bacterium. RNAcentral's name for it is "partial 16S ribosomal RNA". It matches the Rfam family "Bacterial small subunit ribosomal RNA", at positions 568 to 774 of the family's 1533-position model. The record is from RNAcentral.